RNAcentral lists this ribosomal RNA (406 nucleotides) under uncultured Eubacterium sp. RNAcentral describes it as "bacterial SSU rRNA". It matches the Rfam family "Bacterial small subunit ribosomal RNA", at positions 354 to 776 of the family's 1533-position model. Lineage: Bacteria; Bacillati; Bacillota; Clostridia; Eubacteriales; Eubacteriaceae. The record is from RNAcentral.
GUGGGGAAUAUUGCGCAAUGGGGGCAACCCUGACGCAGCAAUACCGCGUGAGUGAAGAAGGUUUUCGGAUCGUAAAGCUCUGUUAUUGGGGAAGAAGAAUGACGGUACCCAAUGAGGAAGUCCCGGCUAACUACGUGCCAGCAGCCGCGGUAAUACGUAGGGGACAAGCGUUGUCCGGAAUGACUGGGCGUAAAGGGCGCGUAGGCGGUCUAUUAAGUCUGAUGUGAAAGGUACCGGCUCAACCGGUGAAGUGCAUUGGAAACUGGUAGACUUGAGUAUUGGAGAGGCAAGUGGAAUUCCUAGUGUAGCGGUGAAAUGCGUAGAUAUUAGGAGGAACACCAGUGGCGAAGGCGGCUUGCUGGACAAAUACUGACGCUGAGGUGCGAAAGCGUGGGGAGCGAACAGG